UAGGGAAUCUUCCGCAAUGGACGAAAGUCUGACGGAGCAACGCCGCGUGAGUGAUGAAGGUUUUCGGAUCGUAAAGCUCUGUUGUUAGGGAAGAACAAGUACCGUUCGAAUAGGGCGGUACCUUGACGGUACCUAACCAGAAAGCCACGGCUAACUACGUGCCAGCAGCCGCGGUAAUACGUAGGUGGCAAGCGUUGUCCGGAAUUAUUGGGCGUAAAGGGCUCGCAGGCGGUUUCUUAAGUCUGAUGUGAAAGCCCCCGGCUCAACCGGGGAGGGUCAUUGGAAACUGGGGAACUUGAGUGCAGAAGAGGGGAGUGGAAUUCCACGUGUAGCGGUGAAAUGCGUAGAGAUGUGGAGGAACACCAGUGGCGAAGGCGACUCUCUGGUCGGUAACUGACGCUGAGGCUCGAAAGCAUGGGUAGCGAACG
RNAcentral lists this ribosomal RNA (428 nucleotides) under uncultured prokaryote. RNAcentral describes it as "bacterial SSU rRNA". It matches the Rfam family "Bacterial small subunit ribosomal RNA", at positions 355 to 774 of the family's 1533-position model. The record is from RNAcentral.